RNAcentral lists this transfer RNA (72 nucleotides) under Sphaerodactylus townsendi. RNAcentral's name for it is "tRNA-Ala". It matches the Rfam family "tRNA". From Rfam's summary of the family: Transfer RNA (tRNA) molecules are approximately 80 nucleotides in length. The record is from RNAcentral. Lineage: Eukaryota; Metazoa; Chordata; Lepidosauria; Squamata; Sphaerodactylidae.
GGGGCUGUGGCUUAGUGGUAGAGUAUCUGCUUGGCAUGCAAAAGGUUCCAUGUUCAAUCCCAGGCCGCUCCA